CCUUUGACGUUAGCGGCGGACGGGUGAGUAACACGUGGGUAACCUACCUAUAAGACUGGGAUAACUUCGGGAAACCGGAGCUAAUACCGGAUAAUAUUUCGAACCGCAUGGUUCGAUAGUGAAAGAUGGUUUUGCUAUCACUUAUAGAUGGACCUGCGCCGUAUUAGCUAGUUGGUAAGGUAACGGCUUACCAAGGCGACGAUACGUAGCCGACCUGAGAGGGUGAUCGGCCACACUGGAACUGAGACACGGUCCAGACUCCUACGGGAGGCAGCAGGG
This 279-nucleotide ribosomal RNA is filed under the name uncultured Staphylococcus sp. Its description in RNAcentral is "partial 16S ribosomal RNA". It matches the Rfam family "Bacterial small subunit ribosomal RNA", at positions 83 to 354 of the family's 1533-position model. The record is from RNAcentral. Lineage: Bacteria; Bacillati; Bacillota; Bacilli; Caryophanales; Staphylococcaceae.